Molecule: small RNA, 159 nt
Filed under: uncultured Eubacterium sp.
Lineage: Bacteria; Bacillati; Bacillota; Clostridia; Eubacteriales; Eubacteriaceae
Description: Clostridiales-1 RNA
Rfam family: Clostridiales-1 RNA
Source: RNAcentral
ACAUAAGUGUCAAAAUACAAAUGCUUUCCUGCUUGCAGGAAAAGCUUUUGUAUUUUUGACACGCCAAAACACGAGGAAUUAGCAUUUUUCGUAGAAAAAUUGCGGUUUCCGAGUGUUUUCAGGAUUGCGGGAGUUUCGCAGAAACGGAGCAAUCCGUAU